Molecule: long non-coding RNA, 2688 nt
Organism: Gallus gallus (chicken)
Lineage: Eukaryota; Metazoa; Chordata; Aves; Galliformes; Phasianidae
Source: Ensembl
GUGGCUUUCAGCAGAACACCUUAUCUGCUCUCGAGAGCUGUGACUCUUCAUCCUUUCCUUAUGAAGACCCAGGGGAUUGCUUACUUAGCAUCCACCAGAGGCAAUGGAUAGGGUGAGCAGUCACUGCAGCCAGAAAAGCCCAGCACGGAGCAAAGGCAAUUACCUCCGCACGCAGAGACUUUGGAGCUGAAUUGUGCUGAACGGAGAACCCCUCCGGCUGGCAGAGCCAUGUGCGGCCGAGAAGAGCAGCCACUUUCGCUCCGCUGAAAAGCAAUGCAGGAACCCUCGUGGUGUACGGUGCUGCUGGGUGCAAUCAUUAAGGCAAUGAGCAAACGCUCUCCACUUGUUGUCCAACUUUGAAGACGGGCAGAUCUACAAGGCAGGUCCCCAGAAGCUCUGUUCCUAAAGCAGAAGUGCAAUAGUGCUCAAGGAGGAUUAAAGGACUAGGAUCGAGUACUUCCUAAAUACUGCUGCCUGCCCCUGUUCUAAACAACAGCUCAAAAAUAACAUACUUGCCUCUUCCGAGGGCUGUUCAAGAAGUAUAGCCCUGGCAAGGCUAAGCCCCUGGGGUCCUAUUCACAAAUACUCAUGGCAGCCAGCGAGGGAAGGAUUCCAAGUCAGGAGGAACAUCAUAUCCCUGGUGUGUCAGUCAGUACUUUGUUCAGAGGGAAAGACGACGAAGCAAGACAGAAGGCUGCUGAAAACACAGAUGCUCACAUUUCUCCCACUAGAAACAGAACAAGAAUUUAUUUUCUUUUAUCAUAAAUCACAGGUUUUCUCUUAACGCUAUGCUUUAGACCUUCAGUCAGGGCUUAUGGCAGUAUAGAACCGCAUGCUCAAGUAAAUAUAAACUAUCUGGUGGAAAUGUCUUUCCUUAUUUCUCUUUCUACUGCUGCCCCAUCUGAUUGAUUUGUUGAUUACUGGAGAAUUUGCUGCAUCACACCUUUAGUUUAGUUUAAGCUAUAAACUGGCCAGAAGUAAGCUGAUGUCCCCCAUUCAAUAUUGUUUUUCUGCACUGAUAUUCAAGCCCCCAUUGUCUCUGCCAGCAUCACCAACCUAUCUAUCACUUCUUACCAAAUGACCACACCACACCAUAUGUUGCAGAAUUAUUUUGGAUUUUCACCAGCUUAGUUUAAAAAUCAGUCCUCGAUCUGAGCAUGAUCCAGCCAAGAGGAGGAAAAACUAAUAGAUAUGAUAUCAUUUUUUCUACCUUCCUUGAAGGCACUAAGUAUUUGUCACACAGAGCCUUGCCAUAUUGAUCCCUUUACCUUCACUAUGAAGAUGGAUCGUGCUGUGUGUGGGUCUGCCCGAGUCAUUUUGUGAACCUUGUGCUUCUUUAUGGGGGAAAUUGGGGAAAAUAAUAUGUCAUAUCAAUGUGGCGUAUCAAUUACACACGAUAGUGCAAAGAAAGGCCUAUAAAGGAGAGGUAUCAUGGAGUCAGAACAAAGGUGAGAUUAUACACAUUUACCAAGUGGCCCAUUUACUGUGAGGUUUCUAGAGAGGUUCAGAAAGAACUGGUAUUAGGCUGGGAAGGGAAAUCACUCCAAGCUGGCAACUUGUCAGGAAAGUAUCUGCCAUUACAUGAGGCUCAAAUAAUGACAAAUCAUAACAAAUCAUUCAAAGUCAUGAAACUCGGGAACUCCGUUCACUUCUCAUGGGCUGUGUCUGUUCACCACAUGAAAGAUGACUAACACAUUCUCUCCCAAUUCAGACUCUGUCACACCAUUACAAUGCUUGGGAUUCUCUGUGUUUGCCACGGGGAUUUUCUGGAAAGAAGCAGAUUCUCCAGUUCAGAAAACAACUGAUGCCACUUCAUAUCAUUUUUAUCAUUGAGCCACAUCUCAGAAAUGACCUUUUUAAGAGUUGUCUGAAGAAUGGGAACAGGUUGGUACUCACAUUCUAGCAAGUAGAAAGAAAAAUCUAACCCAGAAUGCUCCUAGCAUCCUACUUUGGGUCUUGAUUCCAAAUCAGCAGACAGCAAUGAGGAGACUGGAUCAGAACUCAGCAGACUUCCAUUUAAGGCAGAUAAGAAUGCUGUUAGUAAUCAACAACUACUUACAUUUGCAAAACUUAUCCUUUUGUGGAGCAAAAGAUAAAAAGGAGCACAAACAAACCUGACCUUGCAAUCACUCACCUUUGUGAGCAAUCUUCUCUUUUGCAAAUAGGCUGCCUCUCAUCAGUGCCUUUAUUUGCUUAAGUCCUUGCAGAUACAUUAAAGAUUUAUAGUAGAGCUGUUACAGGCAAUGAAGGAAGUUAUAUGUCACCCUUUUGUUUUCUAAUAGUGGUUUGAUUUAAACUAUGGGGAACAAAGGAAGUAAUAUUUUAAAACAGGAAUGAAAACAUAAUGCAGCCACAAAUAAAGUCUGGUCAUACAUGGAACUUAAGCAGAUAAAAUGACUUUUGUCAUGAAGAAACACUGUGCCUCAGUAGUAUUUCGUAUCAGUGCUUCCCAGACUAGGAUUGGUUUAAACUGUCCUUAAGACACCCUCAGAUCUCCAAAUGUAGCUGGAGCAAACCAGAAAAUGGGUAAAAUAACAAGCAUCUCUGAACAAAAUGGAAACAAACAAAACCAGUAAAUUAAGAUUUGGAAAGGAAAUGAAAGCAGCAUAUCCUCCGCAAAGUUUAUUUAAGCAGCAUUCAGUACGAAAGCUUUUAUUACCUUUAAUCUGAGAGGAAAAUAAGCAAUGG